This 495-nucleotide ribosomal RNA is filed under the name uncultured bacterium. Its description in RNAcentral is "partial 16S ribosomal RNA". It matches the Rfam family "Bacterial small subunit ribosomal RNA", at positions 28 to 507 of the family's 1533-position model. The record is from RNAcentral.
GACGAACGCUGGCGGCGUGCCUAAUACAUGCAAGUAGAACGCUGAAGGAGGAGCUUGCUUCUCUGGAUGAGUUGCGAACGGGUGAGUAACGCGUAGGUAACCUGCCUGGUAGCGGGGGAUAACUAUUGGAAACGAUAGCUAAUACCGCAUAAGAGUAGAUGUUGCAUGACAUUUGCUUAAAAGGUGCAAUUGCAUCACUACCAGAUGGACCUGCGUUGUAUUAACUAGUUGGUGGGGUAACGGCUCACCAAGGCGACGAUACAUAGCCGACCUGAGAGGGUGAUCGGCCACACUGGGACUGAGACACGGCCCAGACUCCUACGGGAGGCAGCAGUAGGGAAUCUUCGGCAAUGGACGGAAGUCUGACCGAGCAACGCCGCGUGAGUGAAGAAGGUUUUCGGAUCGUAAAGCUCUGUUGUAAGAGAAGAACGAGUGUGAGAGUGGAAAGUUCACACUGUGACGGUAUCUUACCAGAAAGGGACGGCUAACUACGUG